This 65-nucleotide transfer-messenger RNA is filed under the name Burkholderiaceae bacterium. Its description in RNAcentral is "partial transfer-messenger RNA". It matches the Rfam family "transfer-messenger RNA", at positions 308 to 374 of the family's 374-position model. From Rfam's summary of the family: Bacterial tmRNA, also known as 10Sa RNA or SsrA, is named for its dual tRNA and mRNA-like properties. Lineage: Bacteria; Pseudomonadati; Pseudomonadota; Betaproteobacteria; Burkholderiales; Burkholderiaceae. The record is from RNAcentral.
CUAAGUAUGUAGAACUUGUUGUAGCGUGUUUGCGGACGCGGGUUCGAUUCCCGCCGACUCCACCA